RNAcentral lists this ribosomal RNA (180 nucleotides) under uncultured bacterium. RNAcentral's name for it is "partial 16S ribosomal RNA". It matches the Rfam family "Bacterial small subunit ribosomal RNA", at positions 1319 to 1500 of the family's 1533-position model. The record is from RNAcentral.
CAUGAAUCGGAAUUGCUAGUAAUCGCGGAUCAGCAUGCCGCGGUGAAUACGUUCCCGGGCCUUGUACACACCGCCCGUCACACCAUGGGAGCCGGUAAUACCCGAAGUCAGUAGUCCAACCUCGUGAGGACGCUGCCGAAGGUAGGAUUGGCGACUGGGGUGAAGUCGUAACAAGGUACC